Molecule: ribosomal RNA, 459 nt
Filed under: uncultured bacterium
Lineage: Bacteria
Description: partial 16S ribosomal RNA
Rfam family: Bacterial small subunit ribosomal RNA
Source: RNAcentral
CCUACGGGAGGCAGCAGUAGGGAAUCUUCCACAAUGGACGAAAGUCUGAUGGAGCAACGCCGCGUGAGUGAAGAAGGGUUUCGGCUCGUAAACCUCUUUUGCCGGGGAGCAAGGGCGGGGACGUGUCCCGGCCCGGAGAGUACCCGGAGAAAAAGCAUCGGCUAACUCCGUGCCAGCAGCCGCGGUAAUACGGAGGAUGCGAGCGUUAUCCGGAUUUAUUGGGUUUAAAGGGUGCGUAGGCGGGCUUUUAAGUCAGCGGUAAAAAUUCGGGGCUCAACCCCGUCCGGCCGUUGAAACUGGGGGCCUUGAGUGGGCGAGAAGAAGGCGGAAUGCGUGGUGUAGCGGUGAAAUGCAUAGAUAUCACGCAGAACCCCGAUUGCGAAGGCAGCCUUCCGGCGCCCUACUGACGCUGAGGCACGAAAGUGCGGGGAUCGAAUAGGAUUAGAUACCCUGGUAGUC